GUGUUUUUCGUGAAUGCGUUAUUACCUCUUGUAUUCUUUCAAGCUUGGUUCAAAUUCGUUUCGUUAUAAGAAAAAUCCGGUUUUUAUAAGACUUAGCACGCCUUAUCCUUGCGUGUAAGAAUAUAGUCCGUUGCCGGUCAAGGUUAAAUCAUGUAAAUAACUGUCAGUACGUACAUACAUAUGAAUUAUAAAGAAAGCAAGCAUAAUUUCGUACGUCUCGACACCGAUUCAACGAUAUAAAGCAUGUAAAUACAAGUAACUAAAGAAAUGUAGGAUUCAUAACAAGCUAGAAAACAAAGAUGUUAUUCGAACGCCACAUGUUGGCGGAAUUUCGUAACGUUAAAUCGGCAACUGUCAAAUUUGCCGGGAACGACGUUACGUUUACAAAAAGGUACUGCCGCGAUAUUUAACGUUCACAACACU
This 423-nucleotide long non-coding RNA is filed under the name Mytilus galloprovincialis (Mediterranean mussel). The record is from RNAcentral. Lineage: Eukaryota; Metazoa; Mollusca; Bivalvia; Mytilida; Mytilidae.